GACGAACGCUGGCGGCGUGCUUAACACAUGCAAGUCGAACGGAGUCUAAAAAUUACCACUGAGAUCUUAGUCAGUGGGCGAGUAGCGUCAUGGACACGAAGUGGCCAUCACGCGUUAAAAAAGUGCCAACACAGGAUUGAGGCCUGAGUGGUGAUUUUUAGACUGAGUGGCAAACGGGUGAGUAACACGUAGGCAACCUGCCGACAGGAUGGGGACAACAUUCCGAAAGGAAUGCUAACACCGAAUGGAGUCCGGAGAUGGCAUCAUCUCCGGAUAAAAGAUGGCCUCUUAGCAAUGCUAUCGCCUGUCGAUGGGCCUGCGUCUGAUUAGCCAGUUGGCGGGGUAACGGCCCACCAAAGCGACGAUCAGUAGCCGGUCUGAGAGGAUGAACGGCCACAUUGGGACUGAGACACGGCCCAGACUCCUACGGGAGGCAGCAGUGGGGAAUCUUCCACAAUGGGCGAAAGCCAGAUGGAGCAACGCCGCGUGAGUGAAGAAGGUCUUCGGAUCGUAAAGCUCUGUUGCACGGGACGAAAACCGGGUUUGAGAAUAUUGAACUUGGGGACGUACCGAGCGAGGAGCCAC
Molecule: ribosomal RNA, 585 nt
Filed under: Selenomonas sp. oral taxon F80
Lineage: Bacteria; Bacillati; Bacillota; Negativicutes; Selenomonadales; Selenomonadaceae
Description: bacterial SSU rRNA
Rfam family: Bacterial small subunit ribosomal RNA
Source: RNAcentral